GUGGGGAAUUGUUCGCAAUGGGCGCAAGCCUGACGACGCAACGCCGCGUGGAGGACGAAAACCUUCGGGUCGUAAACUCCUGUCGAGUGGGACGAAACUACCUGGGUUAAUACCCUGGGUGGCUGACGGUACCGCUAAAGGAAGCCCCGGCUAACUCCGUGCCAGCAGCCGCGGUAAUACGGGGGGGGCAAGCGUUGUUCGGAUUUACUGGGCGUAAAGAGCUCGUAGGCGGCUUGUUUAGUCGGACGUGAAAUCCCUCGGCUCAACUGAGGAACUGCGUCCGAUACUGGCAGGCUUGAAUCCGGGAGAGGGAUGCGGAAUUCCAGGUGUAGCGGUGAAAUGCGUAGAUAUCUGGAGGAACACCGGUGGCGAAGGCGGCAUCCUGGACCGGUAUUGACGCUGAGGAGCGAAAGCCAGGGUAGCAAACGGG
This 430-nucleotide ribosomal RNA is filed under the name uncultured bacterium. Its description in RNAcentral is "bacterial SSU rRNA". It matches the Rfam family "Bacterial small subunit ribosomal RNA", at positions 354 to 776 of the family's 1533-position model. The record is from RNAcentral.